AGUAGUCACCGACUUUCACCAACUUUGAAACCAAAACCAAAAACAGGAUUCCAGAAGUGCAAGGAGUGCAGAGAGUGAGAGAAAAAGCUGAAAGAGGGCAGGCAGGCAACUGCUGACAAGCGUCUUUCAGCAAAUAGUUCCAGAGGCAGCUGCAGUCACUGAGGGAGAAAAAGAUGACACCUCUUCCUUUACUGAGGCAGCUGAAGACAUGAGACAAAUGUAGAUGAAUCAGUUACUAGAUGCCAAUGAUCCAUCAGUCAUCAGUCUGACAAAGACUGACACCCCUGAGAAGAUCUUCAAAUGUAAUGUGAUGUGUCUCUAAAAACAAAGAUCAGAAUUGUCCAGGCUGUGGUCCCCUCUGUGAUUCUGUAUGAAUACGAAAGCUGGACAAUAAAAUAACAAGACAUGAAAA
Pygocentrus nattereri (red-bellied piranha) is the source of this 412-nucleotide long non-coding RNA. RefSeq lists it as uncharacterized. Lineage: Eukaryota; Metazoa; Chordata; Actinopteri; Characiformes; Serrasalmidae. The transcript has 3 exons. The record is from RefSeq and is a predicted model, not a curated record.